UUGAAAGGGAAACGAUUGAAGUCAGUCGUACCUAUGGGUAAUCAGCCUUUUGGGUGUGAUUUUGUGGAGCGUGAGGAGUUAAACGCCUUCAUGCCUGCAUAUUCGUGCACUUUGGGUGUACUUGCCCGUAUGGUUGGUUAACAUCAAUUUUGGUGGUCAUAAAAUGACUGGAGGAAUGUAGCUUCGAUCUCGUAUUGAAGUGUUAUAGCCUUCGGUAGAUGUGAUGAUCGAGAUUGAGGAUUGCAACGGAUACCUUCGGGGCUACCUGUCUGAUCUCUGAUCGUUGCUCUGGUGCCGAAAGCUUGCUUACGGUUAUCAAAGUCGAUGGUCAAUAGGUUAGAACGGGUUAAAUUCGUUAAGGAUGUUGACGUA
This 372-nucleotide ribosomal RNA is filed under the name uncultured Glomeromycotina. RNAcentral describes it as "LSU rRNA". Lineage: Eukaryota; Fungi; Glomeromycota. The record is from RNAcentral.